RNAcentral lists this long non-coding RNA (362 nucleotides) under Brassica napus (rape). RNAcentral describes it as "long non-coding RNA (BNAP_LNC008494)". Lineage: Eukaryota; Viridiplantae; Streptophyta; Magnoliopsida; Brassicales; Brassicaceae. The record is from RNAcentral.
ACUAUAAACGGUCUCCGCCGUCCGUACUUGCUCUUACACCUGUCGCUGCUGUGUCCCACGAGCGGCUGCACGAACAGUCCGGAGAGCGGGCCGCAGAGCCAGAUCACGCUCGCCCAGGCGUGCGGGAUCCCCAGCUCUUGGACGUAAGGGGUGAGGAGAAGUCCGGAGAGCGGGCCGCAGAGCCAGAUCACGCUCGCCCAGGCGUGCGGGAUCCCCAGCUCUUGGACGUAAGGUGUGAGGAGAGAGAGCUGGAGCGCCCACCCGAACUGUAUCCCGCAGGCCACGGAGGCGACGCGGAGGAGCACGCGCUUCGAGGCUUUUGAUCGAGGGGGUUGGCGGUUGCGUGAGGGCGGUGGUCGGUG